AUACGGAGGGUGCAAGCGUUAAUCGGAAUUACUGGGCGCAAAGCGUACGUAGGCGGUUCGUUAAGUUAGAUGUGAAAGCCCCGGGCUUAACCUGGGAACUGCAUUUAAAACUGGCGGACUAGAGUUGAGUAGAGGGGAGUGGAAUUUCAGGUGUAGCGGUGAAAUGCGUAGAGAUCUGAAGGAACACCAGUGGCGAAGGCGACUCCCUGGACUCGAACUGACGCUGAGGUACGAAAGCGUGGGUAGCAAACGGGAUUAGAAACCCUAGUAGUCC
RNAcentral lists this ribosomal RNA (274 nucleotides) under uncultured bacterium. RNAcentral's name for it is "partial 16S ribosomal RNA". It matches the Rfam family "Bacterial small subunit ribosomal RNA", at positions 523 to 796 of the family's 1533-position model. The record is from RNAcentral.